Long non-coding RNA from Etheostoma spectabile (orangethroat darter), 175 nucleotides. RefSeq lists it as uncharacterized. NCBI's taxonomy places the organism in Eukaryota, Metazoa, Chordata, Actinopteri, Perciformes, Percidae. The transcript has 3 exons. The record is from RefSeq and is a predicted model, not a curated record.
AAAGGUAUUGUUGUACAAGAUUCAUGUGUUGAAACAGAUACUUCUCUACACAAUUACAGCAAGGUUGGUUGGCUUUCUACUUAAGCUGUGGUGAGAAACACGGGCACUAAUUAAUAAUGUUGUAAUGUUUUCAGUUUCAAGGUAUUUUUCUACUAGAUUUCUGUGUUGAAGCAGA